AAUAAUAUAGUUUAAAUAAAAUUUUAAAUUGCAAAUUUAAAGAUAGAUUAUUCUUAUUAUUU
Molecule: transfer RNA, 62 nt
Filed under: Hydroporus analis
Lineage: Eukaryota; Metazoa; Arthropoda; Insecta; Coleoptera; Dytiscidae
Also listed under: 5 other names
Description: tRNA-Cys
Source: RNAcentral